Molecule: ribosomal RNA, 253 nt
Filed under: uncultured bacterium
Lineage: Bacteria
Description: partial 16S ribosomal RNA
Rfam family: Bacterial small subunit ribosomal RNA
Source: RNAcentral
UACGGAGGGGGCUAGCGUUGUUCGGAAUUACUGGGCGUAAAGGGCUCGUAGGUGGCCAACUAAGUCAGACGUGAAAUCCCCAGGCUCAACUUGGGAACUGCGUCUGAUACUGGAUGGCUUGAAUCCGGGAGAGGGAUGCAGAAUUCCAGGUGUAGCGGUGAAAUGCGUAGAUAUCUGGAGGAAUACCGGUGGCGAAGGCGGCAUCCUGGACCGGGAUUGACACUGAGGAGCGAAAGCUAGGGGAGCAAACGGG